Molecule: transfer RNA, 69 nt
Filed under: Breviceps mossambicus (Mozambique rain frog)
Lineage: Eukaryota; Metazoa; Chordata; Amphibia; Anura; Brevicipitidae
Description: tRNA-Arg
Rfam family: tRNA
About the family: Transfer RNA (tRNA) molecules are approximately 80 nucleotides in length. Their secondary structure includes four short double-helical elements and three loops (D, anti-codon, and T loops).
Source: RNAcentral
GGCAGGCUAGUCCAAACAAGACAAUUGAUUUCGACUCAAUAAACUAUGGUUUAAAUCCAUAGCCUCCCA